Molecule: ribosomal RNA, 417 nt
Filed under: Triticum aestivum (bread wheat)
Lineage: Eukaryota; Viridiplantae; Streptophyta; Magnoliopsida; Poales; Poaceae
Description: partial small subunit ribosomal RNA
Source: RNAcentral
AUGCAUGAGAGAUACCACGGCAAAGAUCAGAUCAACACGGCAGAAAACGCUCCAGGUAUGAUGAUAAGUCAUGUUGGUCAGUCUACUGUUAAAACCACGCAUUGUGAUAUCCAGCUUAAAGAUGUUUUACAUGUUCCUGCUGCAUCAAAAAAUCUCCUUUCCGUUCAUCGCAUCACACUUGAUAAUGGUGUUUUCAUAGAAUAUCACCCAUUCUUCUUUUUGAUGAAGGAUCAGGUCACAAGGAGGGUCCUCUAUCGUGGUAAAUGUGUGCAAGGUCUCUAUCCGUUGAUUCCCAAGUUUUGCAAGUUCAAUAAACAAGUUCAUGGAGCCUUCAAGGUCUCUUCAGAACGAUGGCACAAUCGUUUAGGCCACCCAUCUUUCUCUAUUGUUUAUCAAAUUCUUAGUAAACAUAAGCUC